CGGAUGUAGCCAAGUGGAUUA
This 21-nucleotide transfer RNA is filed under the name Koelreuteria bipinnata. RNAcentral describes it as "partial tRNA-His". Lineage: Eukaryota; Viridiplantae; Streptophyta; Magnoliopsida; Sapindales; Sapindaceae. The record is from RNAcentral.